GACGAACGCUGGCGGCGUGCUUAACACAUGCAGGUCGAACGGAAAGGCCCUGCUUUUGUGGGGUGCUCGAGUGGCGAACGGGUGAGUAACACGUGAGUAACCUGCCCUUGACUUUGGGAUAACUUCAGGAAACUGGGGCUAAUACCGGAUAGGAGCUCCUGCUGCAUGGUGGGGGUUGGAAAGUUUCGGCGGUUGGGGAUGGACUCGCGGCUUAUCAGCUUGUUGGUGGGGUAGUGGCUUACCAAGGCUUUGACGGGUAGCCGGCCUGAGAGGGUGACCGGCCUCAUUGGGACUGAGAUACGGCCCAGACUCCUACGGGAGGCAGCAGUGGGGAAUAUUGCACAAUGGGCGGAAGCCUGAUGCAGCAACGCCGCGUGCGGGAUGACGGCCUUCGGGUUGUAAACCGCUUUCGCCUGUGACGAAGCGUGAGUGACGGUAAUGGGUAAAGAAGCACCGGCUAACUACGUG
Molecule: ribosomal RNA, 468 nt
Filed under: uncultured bacterium
Lineage: Bacteria
Description: partial 16S ribosomal RNA
Rfam family: Bacterial small subunit ribosomal RNA
Source: RNAcentral